This 406-nucleotide ribosomal RNA is filed under the name uncultured bacterium. Its description in RNAcentral is "partial 16S ribosomal RNA". It matches the Rfam family "Bacterial small subunit ribosomal RNA", at positions 30 to 526 of the family's 1533-position model. The record is from RNAcentral.
AUUGAACGCUGGCGGCAGGCCUAACACAUGCAAGUCGAGCGAGCGGCGGACGGGUGAGUAAUGUCUGGGAAACUGCCUGAUGUAGGGGGAUAACUACUGGAAACGGUAGCUAAUACCGCAUACCAUCAGAUGUGCCCAGGUGGGAUUAUCUAGUAGGUGGGGUAACGGCUCCCCUAGUCGACGAUCCCUAGCUGGUCUGAGAGGAUGACCAGCCACACUGGAACUUAGACACGGUCCAGACUCCUACGGGAGGCAGCAGUGGGGAAUAUUGCACAAUGGGCGCAAGCCUGAUGCAUCCAUGCCGCGUGUGUGAAGAAGGCCUUCGGGUUGUAAAGCACUUUCAGCGGUGAGGCGUUACCCGCAGAAGAAGCACCGGCUAACUCCGUGCCAGCAGCCGCGGUAAUUC